This 301-nucleotide ribosomal RNA is filed under the name uncultured bacterium. RNAcentral describes it as "partial 16S ribosomal RNA". It matches the Rfam family "Bacterial small subunit ribosomal RNA", at positions 509 to 807 of the family's 1533-position model. The record is from RNAcentral.
CAGCCGCCACGGGAAUACGUAGGGUGCGAGCGUUAAUCGGAAUUACUGGGCGUAAAGCGUGCGCAGGCGGUUAUAUAAGACAGAUGUGAAAUCCCCGGGCUCAACCUGGGACCUGCAUUUGUGACUGUAUAGCUAGAGUACGGUAGAGGGGGAUGGAAUUCCGCGUGUAGCAGUGAAAUGCGUAGAUAUGUGGAGGAAUACCGAUGGCGAAGGCAGCCCCCUGGGAUAACACUGACGCUCAUGCACGAAAGCGUGGGGAGCAAACAGGAUUAGAUACCCCCGUAGUCCCUGUCUCUUAUAC